GUUAUGUGCAGUUUCUCGGUGUUUAACGCUGAUGGAUGCACCGCCAGGGCUGUACAGUGUUCCUCCUGUCCUUUAGAAACCAUUAACUCGCUUUAGACAGCAAAGGGGCAUUUUGUCCAUUAUGGGUGCUGGGGCACUGGCAUACUUUUUACCACAAGCAAAAAAGGAGUAACAACCACUGAAGCACCACCCAAGGAAGAGGAGGGAUGCAGGAGGCAAAGGCACCUGACCUGGGACGGAAAGAGAGGGCUCGUUGAACCCCGAUCUCCAGCAACCAGGGUCAAAUAGCAGGUGUAGUUCAGUGGCCCUGCUGCAGAAGAAGUUGGGGUCAGAAGGAGACUAUCAGGACCAACAGAUUAUCUGAUAAACCAGAAUGUUCUUCUGGAUCUGAUGAGCUGAGUCCACCUGGGGCAAAGAAUGCCUGCAGUGAUAUGCAGACAGCAGAGACCACUAAAUAUGCUUCUGAACCUGAACCUUCUUUGACUUCUGAUGGUGCAAAAGUAGGAAUUACUGCUGAAAAGAUUUUUUCUAGGGUGAAAACCACAGCUCAUGACCAUAGGUGAGUGUCAGGAUGUAGACCGAUCGGUAAACAGAGAGCUCC
Long non-coding RNA from Pygocentrus nattereri (red-bellied piranha), 601 nucleotides. RefSeq lists it as uncharacterized. The record is from RefSeq and is a predicted model, not a curated record. The transcript has 6 exons. NCBI's taxonomy places the organism in Eukaryota, Metazoa, Chordata, Actinopteri, Characiformes, Serrasalmidae.